UCCAAUAAGAAAAAUAUAAUUUUAUUUUAACAACUAUAUCUAAAAUUUAUAAAUAUUCACGUAUAGAUAUUUUAAAUAUUAUAAACUAAAUUAAACUAACUAAAAUUUAAUUUUAACAUCUCUAUUGUACAAAUUUAUUGGUGUGUAUGAGAUAUAUACACACUUGGCCAGUGCAGUCAAUGAGUUCGACUAAAUACCACUUUGAGUUAGACCCUCAACUAUGUUAAUUUGAUUAAUAUUUUAUCGACCUUUAAUUAUUUUUAUUUUUAUUUGAGUUAUUCAUUACCUGUUAAUUAUUAAUUCAAUUAAAACACUCUUCCAAUUCUUGACAUUGCUUGCAUUGGUGUCAACAAAAAUAACCUAAAUAGAAUCAGAAAAGUAAAAAAAAAAAUAACACAAAAAGAUGAUAUGUACUAACACAAAUAAUAAGUAUAUUAUUAAAUUACUUUUUCUGUUUCAGAAAAUUUCACUUUUUUGAAAUCAAAUGUUGAUACAAAUGUAUGUUUAAUACAUAUAUUAAAAACUUGAUAGCAAAAAGAGCGUUUUACUAUUAAUAAUAUUAUAGCCUAAUUCUAUAUAUAUAUAUCCUAUAUUCUAAAAUUAUAAUUAAAAAUAUAUAUUCAUCUUAUCCUCAGCAAAGCGCGGGUACAUUGCUAGUAGCUAUUCUAAAACAGCAUUUUGCCACGU
This 687-nucleotide long non-coding RNA is filed under the name Ananas comosus (pineapple). RNAcentral's name for it is "long non-coding RNA (ACOM_LNC032089)". The record is from RNAcentral. Lineage: Eukaryota; Viridiplantae; Streptophyta; Magnoliopsida; Poales; Bromeliaceae.